UGUGUAUCCCUCCUGAAGUUGUAUCCUCAGUUGAAGAGGGCAAUCUUCCAUGAAUAGAGGAGGAUCAGUCUUCAGUCAAGUGUGUAUGAGUAGCUGUGCUCCCCUGGUAGAACCUCCAAACAAGCUCUCAAGAGUUCUAAGUCCUGCUAGCUUCCAGUAUUUGUAAAUAAAGUUUUAUUCUAACACAGUUGUGUUCAUUUGUUUAUGUAA
Molecule: small RNA, 210 nt
Filed under: Mesocricetus auratus (golden hamster)
Lineage: Eukaryota; Metazoa; Chordata; Mammalia; Rodentia; Cricetidae
Description: 7SK RNA (ENSMAUG00000004415.1)
Rfam family: 7SK RNA
About the family: 7SK was discovered as an abundant small nuclear RNA in the mid-70s but a possible function has only recently been suggested. Two independent studies have found that 7SK RNA binds the CDK9/cyclin T complex (known as elongation factor P-TEFb).
Source: RNAcentral